GUCCACGCCCUAAACGAUGGAUACUAGGCGUAAGAGGUAUCGACCCCUCUUGUGCCGCAGCUAACGCACUAAGUAUCCCGCCUGGGGAGUACGGCCGCAAGGUUGAAACUCAAAUGAAUUGACGGGGACCCGCACAAGCGGUGGAGCAUGUGGAUUAAUUCGAUACUAACCGAAGAACCUUACCCAGGUUUGACAUCGAUUGUAAGCCCGAGAGAUCGGGCCCUCCCUCACAAGGGGACAUGAAGACACUUGUUGCAUGGCUGUCGU
This 267-nucleotide ribosomal RNA is filed under the name uncultured bacterium. RNAcentral's name for it is "partial 16S ribosomal RNA". It matches the Rfam family "Bacterial small subunit ribosomal RNA", at positions 793 to 1055 of the family's 1533-position model. The record is from RNAcentral.